RNAcentral lists this ribosomal RNA (321 nucleotides) under uncultured eukaryote. RNAcentral describes it as "partial 18S ribosomal RNA". It matches the Rfam family "Eukaryotic small subunit ribosomal RNA", at positions 1470 to 1796 of the family's 1831-position model. The record is from RNAcentral.
CCCUUAGAUGUUCUGGGCCGCACGCGUGCUACACUGAGUGGAUCAGCGGGUCAGGUUGCGCGAAAGUGUUUCCUAAUCUUUAAAUCCGCUCGUGAUGGGGAUUGACGGUUGCAAUUUUCCGUCAUGAACGAGGAAUACCUUGUAAGCGCGGGUCAUCAUCCCGCGCUGAAUACGUCCCUGCCCUUUGUACACACCGCCCGUCGCUCCUACCGAUUGAACGUUUUAGUGAGGCAUUUGGACCGACGCAUCUCAGUUUAACCGCUGGUUUGUGUUGGAAAGACUUCCAAACUUGAGCGUUUAGAGGAAGUAAAAGUCGUAACA